This is an RNA transcript of Selaginella moellendorffii, 3443 nucleotides long. It is a transcript of the gene named DNA repair protein RAD5A, with no coding region annotated. Lineage: Eukaryota; Viridiplantae; Streptophyta; Lycopodiopsida; Selaginellales; Selaginellaceae. The record is from RefSeq and is a predicted model, not a curated record. The transcript has 7 exons.
AGUUUAUAUCAACAAGUCAGAAGCCUUACGAGGAGGGGGAUGAGCGCGGAUUGAAGCUUCUGCAAGCUAUCUUGAAGCCGUUAAUGCUUCGAAGAAUAAAAGAUUCAACUGAUAAAGAAGGAAGGUAAGCUAUCAUGCAGGCGUUCCUGUACGAAAUAGGAACUCAUAACUGUACCAACAAGUAAUCGGUUUCGAAUAAAUGUCGAGGAGCAGUGGAAGGAGUCGUCCAAAGUCGAGGCUCUGCUGCACCACCUCCAGACGUUAAGUGAGGCCGGGUCGAAAAGCGUUGAUUUUAGUCAGUGGACAGCGUUUCUCGACUUGUUAGAGAUACCAUUGAAAAGGAAGACCUUCUGUUUCGUCCGCUUGGACGGAACACUAUCGCAGCGUCAGCGAGAACAAGUGCUCAAAAACUUCAGCAAUAUUCCAGCCGUGGCCGUCAUGCUCUCAUGCUUUUCUCAUGGUACGCGCUAUAGUUUUCUUUUUUAGCCAUCUUCCGAGUCGAGAAUGUGGACGAUCGAGCAUCGGUCAGACGAAGAACGUAUCGAUCAAGCGAUUCAUCGUCAAAGUAAGCGCCACUUGAAACUCUCUUUGACGUUUCUCAUGUCUCUAGAGGAGGAGAGAGUGCAACAGGUCCAAGCGAGGAAGCAGCGAUUGAUCGGGGGCUCUCACAGACGAAGAGGUGCGAAGCGCUCGAAUCGCGGAGCUCAAAAUGCUAUUUAGAUGAGAAAAACUGGAGUCCUUCGCAGUUUUUUUAACUUAUUAUAUCAGUAUACAUAGUUAAAGAGGGGAAUAUGCUUCUAGCAUCGGCGCGUAUAUUCUUCGGAUAGUUUACUGAAUGAAUGUGUCAUAGGCUAUCGAUAUAGGAGCUAUGGCUCAUUUCUAGGUUUCUUCGACAGCGAAGGAGCAGGCGAUCGCGUCGCAAGCGGCGACGAGCAAGGCGAUCGCGUCGAUUCCUCUCGUCUCCGCGGCCGGGGCGGCUAGAAAGCCGGGGCGCAUUCUAGAGUUUCGGGGUUUCUGGGGCGAUCAGUCAUGUAGCGGGCAGUGAUUCUCUCACAGGGAGCUCAGCCAUGACGUGGAAUCCGCCACAAGUUCCUCCCAGCUUGUCCGCCUCGACUGCCACUACUCAGGCCGAGGAUGAACUGGGCGUGGAUGUGUCGUCUCCCAGCGGCGAUUUGCUACUCCAUAUUCUCAACAGCGGUGGGGGCGACGAGCAGCUGAGGAGCAGUAGCAGCUACAGGACCCAGCAGUCGCAGCUCACGGUCCCUGCCACAGCUUUGCUCCUUCUGGAGCACCUGGAGGAGGAGGAGAAGGUCCUCCUCCACGACCACUCUACGUCCCAGCAAUAAGAUUUGGUGGGUGGUCACCUCACUUCCAGGAGCACCAAGACCCACUUUUCCCUUCGGAUCCAUUCUUGACUCCGUCGGACCACUGAUUUCUACGCUCGUUUGCUCCUCUUCCAGUCGAGAGACCGUUCCAUCCGCCAGUGCCGUAUCCUUUUCCAAAUGCUCCGACUUUCCAGCCUGCUGAUAAUGUGGUUCAUCCGCCGCAUUCCUCUGGGGAGCUUAAACCUCGUCCUGGCCUUCACUUCGGGUCUCCGGUGUUUGGACCCAGCGCAGCAGAGACCUCGGACUCCAAACGCGCCCCAGAGCAGCCGAGGAGAUCGGUUACACCUGCGAAGGAUGACAAGCAACAAUUCCACGGCAAUGGUUCCGAGCUCCUUCAGUUGUUACAGGGUGGUCCUGGUCGUGUGAAGCCCAGCCUCCACAAAGGUGGAUGCUACACAGGACAGUGGGGAUUCUGGAGAGCCAUCACAGAAAGGAAGUCCAUCUGCUGUUCACGGCCCCAUAGGACCGCCGAGGCGUCAUGUCGUUUCUCCUCCGCAGAGUCCAAAUGACCUCCUUGGACGUUUGUGGGCUGCUCUUCCGUCGUCAAGCCACACUUUGUUUGACGGAGAAAGCGAACGCAAGACGUCAGCCCGGAGCUUUGGCGUUGAAGCGAACGAGAUGUCCCGGGAAGUCGAUGGAGGUGGAGCUGCUGGUUUCGCACUUUUGAAGCGAAGGGGAUCGGAGCCUGCCGCCUCGCACUACCUUUAAACGGCUACGACUAUAACGACUCUAAGAAAAUGAUAAGCCGAGGACAAACUCGGCAUCCGGACGACUACAGGACUAUCGUGGGAGAUACGUAAAUGGAGAGGCCGAAUUUGAGGCCGGAGGCGAUGACUUUAGAGGUGCGGGAAGGCGUCGAGGUACCGGUCGUGCAGACGCCAGACGCGGUGGUCGGGGUGCUGUUGGCCAGUGGAUUGCGGUAAAUGAGAGGCAUAAAGAUGCUGAGCCAAGUGACAUCACCUCCUGCGAUAUCUCUGAUGGAAGGGACGAGUCGCUUAAAUCUUCAAACGGGACUUAGUCGAAUGCUAGGAGAAAACAUCAACAGGAAUGGAGGAUAAAACAGGCCGACUCAAAGGCAGCAUUUCCAGCGGAGAAAAAACCGGACUACAAGGUUGCGAAGGCACGGUCUUUGGCAUCUCAACUUGAACGUCCAGGCUUGCCAUCGGGAAGUACGCAGAACUCUUCCGUUGGUGCGGCUUUUGAGGAGUCCAAACAGAGGCUCCAUAAUCUAGAUGCUUUGGAAGGAGAAGGCGUGACGACCUCUCUAGAUCUCGAGGAGCUACAAAUUGACGGUCACCGUCGUCAGGGUAAAGCUCCACAGUUUUACAAGCCGAAGGAGAACCGUUUCAGGGAGUCCAGACGCGUCAUUCCCAUGCACAGACGUGAUCUUCUUUACCGACUGGAUCUGCAGAAUUUCACUUGUGAGCUUUUCUGCCUCUACGACGAGCUUAUACCAACCGGAGGUCCGGAGAAGGAAGUACUUCUCGAAGCUUGAGUCCCUUUUCGAGAGGGAGAUCCCGGGAACACGGCUCUUUCUUUUCGGAUCUUGUGUUAAUGCGUUUGGAGUUUGUAACAGUGACAUCGAUGUUUGCCUCUCCGUUGAUGAGGAAGAACCAAACAAGAUCGAGCUUGUUGUUCAAAUGGCAACUAUCCUCGAGUCAGAUGCCAUGUUAAACGUACAGGAGGCAUAGGACAACGUGACUCAUGGUACCCGCUAUAGUUUCUUAUCCGAAUAUUUAACCAUCCUCCGAUCCAGAGAACUUUCCUUUCAUUGUUCUUGGCAACAAGGUCGAUGUUGACGGAGGGAACAGUAGAGUGGUUUCCCACAAGAAAGCCAAGCCUGGUGUGCUUCCAAGGGAAACAUUCCAUACUUUGAGGCGUCUGCCAAGGAAGACUACAAUGUGGAGGCUGCGAUUCAAUGCAUUGCCAAGAAUGCCUUAACCGAGGAAGACUUCAGCUAUCUUCCAGACACGAUGGACAAUAAAAUACUCAAAACCACGAGAGUAAAGUAAUAUCCUGAGAAUACGAUUUGUAAGAAAAAAAGAAAAUGUUUCUUCU